RNAcentral lists this long non-coding RNA (1182 nucleotides) under Homo sapiens (human). RNAcentral describes it as "HSALNT0053962". The record is from RNAcentral. Lineage: Eukaryota; Metazoa; Chordata; Mammalia; Primates; Hominidae.
CUGAUUCAAACAAUGGGAGCCACUUUACCUCAAGGAUGUUAAGGGGAAUUAUUUCACCACUUCCAGCCUGGCGACUUGGUGCUGAUCAAGACUUGAAAAGAAGACAAGCUCCACCCAAGCUGGGAAGGUCCCUAUCAAGUGCUCCUGACCACUGAGAUGGCCGCGCAAACAGCUGAACAGGGGUGGACUCACUAUACUCAAGUCAAGGGACUGGUAACAGAGACCCCAGAAGAGAGAGGAAAAAGACCAGUGGAAAGUGCACGGGUCAGCUGAGGAACCCUUAAAAAAAAUUAGCAAACCAAUCACCAGAAUCUUGGAGGGAAGUUCUCUUUUUAAAGAAGCAAUAAACCAGGGGAGCUGAUGUCUUUUCUGUCUUCAGGAAAGAGUAAAUAAAAGAAGGAGUGUGUCCAGAGAGUGAAAAUGUUUUUUCUCGAUCAAUACUCAAGAGUUUGACCUCUUCCUUUUUCAUGACUUUGGAUGUGCCCCAAACACCAGACACCGCUAUGGUCCUAUCUCUGUGGCCCACUUCAAAGCCAAAUAUGAAAAAUUUGGAGUCAGGCCAUGUCAUGAGUUAUCCUAGUAACUUAUGCCCCUUGACAGUGUGAAGAGAGGGGGUUGAGGUUUCUCAAGAACAUUAACACAAAUGCACCUCUGUGGGCAGCAAGAAGCCUGCUGGGUGUGUCAAAAUCAGAAGAAAAACUUUCAGCUGAGAAAAGCAGUCCUGGUUCCUCUCUGGGUAUCCAGAUAGGAUUGGUAACAAAUAAAGGAGAGAGAGGGGUGAGGGGACCACAGGAUCCUCCAGAUGCUUCUGUUUCACCUUCCCCCCAUCUUGUUUAGCCACCACACCAGCCAGCACCCUGGAAAGAGCCAGGGCUGGCUUAGAAACCUUACGUAGAGAACACUGGGGUAGUGAGUCACCACUGACUUUGAAGGGCCAUCAAAGGUGACAGCUGGGAGGUGAUGUGGUCUUUCUACACAGCCAUGCACAGCAGCUUCCUGCCAAAGGAGGGAGAGACACGAAUCACACCCGCAGGGCUUGCUGGCCCAGGGAGGGGGAUGGCCAGGAUGAUGCCACAUUUAUAUAUGACCAGGGCCCUGUGAGAAGGGGUUCUUCAAUUCAAUAAAAUGGCAGCAUCAUGGCCCUGGGCCAGCUGGCUCAGGCCUGGGAGGCCUUGAAGCACU